RNAcentral lists this ribosomal RNA (422 nucleotides) under uncultured bacterium. Its description in RNAcentral is "bacterial SSU rRNA". It matches the Rfam family "Bacterial small subunit ribosomal RNA", at positions 355 to 774 of the family's 1533-position model. The record is from RNAcentral.
UAAGGAAUAUUGGUCAAUGGACGCAAGUCUGAACCAGCCAUGCCGCGUGGAGGAUGACGGUCCUCUGGAUUGUAAACUUCUUUUAUUUGGGAAGAAAACCUCUGAUUAUUCGGAGCUUGACGGUACCAGAUGAAUAAGCACCGGCUAACUUCGUGCCAGCAGCCGCGGUAAUACGAAGGAUGCAAGCGUUAUCCGGAAUUAUUGGGUUUAAAGGGUGCGUAGGCGGACUAAUAAGUCAGUGGUGAAAGCCUGCAGCUUAACUGCAGAAUUGCCAUUGAUACUGUUAGUCUUGAGUACAGUUGAGGUAGGCGGAAUGUGUCAUGUAGCGGUGAAAUGCUUAGAUAUGACACAGAACACCGAUUGCGAAGGCAGCUUGCUAAGCUGUAACUGACGCUGAGGCACGAAAGCGUGGGGAGCAAACA